UGCUGCCAGUUGCAACGGGUGAAGCCGGGCACUCUGGCGGGACUGCCAUCGACAAGAUGGAGGAAGGUGGGGAUGACGUCAAGUCAUCAUGGCCCUUAUGUCCAGGGCGACACACGUGCUACAAUGGCCGGCACAGCGGGAAGCGAGGCAGUGAUGCCGAGCGGAUCCCUUAAAGCCGGUCUCAGUUCGGAUUGAAGUCUGCAACUCGACUUCAUGAAGCUGGAAUCGCUAGUAAUCGCAGAUCAGCCAAGCUGCGGUGAAUACGUUCCCGGGCCUU
RNAcentral lists this ribosomal RNA (277 nucleotides) under uncultured Synergistaceae bacterium. RNAcentral's name for it is "partial 16S ribosomal RNA". It matches the Rfam family "Bacterial small subunit ribosomal RNA", at positions 1106 to 1382 of the family's 1533-position model. Lineage: Bacteria; Thermotogati; Synergistota; Synergistia; Synergistales; Synergistaceae. The record is from RNAcentral.